UCGAAGUAGAUUGGCCUCUCUGGCAAGAUUCCUAUUCGUCGGUCUGUCCGACGUACGUCUCCAUUCCCUCCUUCAGGGAACGAGGGUUACCUUUGUAACCGAGACGGUCUAACUACAACAAUGAAUUAGAAAAACUUCAACUUGAACAGAAAUUUAAUCAUGCACGUAUUAUAGCCUAUAAACUUUUUGUUUAAUGCGCAUGCGCCAAAAUACUACGUCAUGACGGCGCACUACUUCACCAGAGUUUGAAAAAUGCACUUUCAGCCAUCUUUCUGUGAUCGCGAUGCGUGAGGCAACUUUGCUGAUCAAAGAAGAAAACAAAGGAGCGCACGUUUGGAUGACUACAGAUGAGACGUUAUGUACUACAAAUAAAGAAGCAAGAUCAGUACAGAUUUGUUAUUGGAGAUACAGUGCAAGCUGUGUGGAAUCAAAGACCCAUAUUGAUGAGAUCAUGUUCCAAGUUUUGCCAUUAAUUCAGCCACCCUGAUCACACACUACAAACUAAACACUGCCAUCAACUGUCCUUUAUAGCUUUUAAAUGCUUUGAAUCUUUUCUAUUUGCAAGUAAUAAAUUCUCAUCUGUGCACUUACAAAUCCCCAUCUAAUCAUUAUAUAUUUAUAUAUAAUGAUAUUAUAUCAUUAUUUUCAAAGCAAAACCCCUCAAUUUGCUUGGGUCUUGGGUUAUCUAUAUUUGUGUAAUUGAUAAAGUUAUGUUUAAUUCCUUGUAAAGUAGGAAUAAAAAUGUUUAUAAAAAUGUUCUCUAUUUUGAAAGGCCAGUGUCAGUGAAGAUGGUGUGGUCACUGGAAUCCUGGUGUUUGUAGGAAAUGUGAAAGAGCUUCUCCCAGGAUUCUACAACAGUGUUGUCCUGAUGACUGAGGUAUUUAUUUUUUUUACUUUCUUGCCUCUUUGGAACAUGUCCAUUUAUGCAUACUGUGUAGAGGUGAUGCGCAGCUUCAUGGACAUUUAAGGUUUUCUGCUGAUGAAGAGCUUCUGGAACAUUGACAUAAACAGCACUUUUUCAUACAACUUAAAAAAGGUGGUGACAGACAAUUUUGGUUUUCUUGUUUUUGUGCCUUUGGAAUUUAUUGGGUUUUG
Long non-coding RNA from Megalobrama amblycephala (Wuchang bream), 1095 nucleotides. RefSeq lists it as uncharacterized. The record is from RefSeq and is a predicted model, not a curated record. NCBI's taxonomy places the organism in Eukaryota, Metazoa, Chordata, Actinopteri, Cypriniformes, Xenocyprididae. The transcript has 3 exons.